This 518-nucleotide small RNA is filed under the name Pongo abelii (Sumatran orangutan). RNAcentral describes it as "processed transcript". The record is from RNAcentral. Lineage: Eukaryota; Metazoa; Chordata; Mammalia; Primates; Hominidae.
GUAUUCUCCACUGGUUGAAUGCAAAUGGAAGCCAGAGGAAAAGGGAACCCUUGACACAGUUUUCAUAUAGACUGGCCUCCAGGGCAGACAGCAGGAGGGGGGUUUAAUCUGGACUGAAUUGGAGGAAAGGAACUGGCACCAGAGUGGAGGCUGGAAGGAUGGUGGAACUGACACUGGGACAGAACACAGAAAACAGAAUAUAAUGCUAGUACCCUAAUGAUAAGUUCACCCCAGUGUUUUCUGAGGAGUCUACCUGGAAAUGAGAACCAUCUGUCCUUCCUAUAGUAGUUCUUCUCAGAAUGCCGACUCUAUGCUAAUGGAGGAGGUCUGAUGGCCGGGAGGAUGGGAAGAAGGAACCCACAAUGAAGCAAAAGUCACGUUUAACUCUGUCCUCACCAUUCCUCUCCUGGGCCUGUCCUAAACUGGAAGCUGGGGGAGGAUGGAGUGCUGGAAUGCUGUAGAAGUCUCAUGGGAGGGCGCCUGGUGUUCACCACAUGUGUACACUGUUGCACGACCAG